CUGGGCUAGAAUGCCUCAGACAACCCUAGAGAUAGGGCUUCCUAGGGAAACCUAGGCAGAGUGCAAGGUGCUGCAUGGCUGUCGUCAGCUCGUGUCGUGAGAUGUUGGGUUAAGUCCCGCAACGAGCGCAACCCUUAUCGAUAGUUGCUAGCGGUUCGGCCGAGCACUCUAUUGAGACUGCCGUUGACAAAACGGAGGAAGGUGGGGAUGACGUCAAGUCCUCAUGGCCCUUACGGGGUGGGCUACACACGUGCUACAAUGGCGACUACAGAGGGUUGCAACCCUGCGAAGGUGAGCUAAUCCCUAAAAGUCGUCUCAGUUCGGAUUGCACUCUGCAACUCGAGUGCAUGAAGUCGGAAUCGCUAGUAAUCGCGGAUCAGCAUGCCGCGGUGAAUACG
Molecule: ribosomal RNA, 398 nt
Filed under: uncultured bacterium
Lineage: Bacteria
Description: bacterial SSU rRNA
Rfam family: Bacterial small subunit ribosomal RNA
Source: RNAcentral